AUUGAACGCUGGCGGCAGGCCUAACACAUGCAAGUCGAGCGCGCGGCGGACGGGUGAGUAAUGUAUGGGGGUCUGCCCGAUAGAGGGGGAUAACUACUCGAGACGGUAUCGAAUACACCAUACUCUAUGAUGAGCCCCCAUGGGGGUAGCUAGUAGGUGGGGUAAUGGCUCACCCAGGCGACGAUCCCUAGCUGGUCUGAGAGGAUGAUCAGCCACACUGGAACUGAGACACGGCCCAGACUCCUACGGGAGGCAGCAGUGGGGAAUAUUGCACAAUGGGCGCAAGCCUGAUGCAGCCAUGCCGCGUGUAUGAAGAAGGCCCUAGGGUUGUAAAGUACUUUCAGUCGGGAGGCGUUACCGACAGAAGAAGCACCGGCUAACUCCGUGCCAGCAGCCGCGGUAAUUC
RNAcentral lists this ribosomal RNA (406 nucleotides) under uncultured bacterium. Its description in RNAcentral is "partial 16S ribosomal RNA". It matches the Rfam family "Bacterial small subunit ribosomal RNA", at positions 30 to 526 of the family's 1533-position model. The record is from RNAcentral.